This 645-nucleotide ribosomal RNA is filed under the name Dilochrosis balteata. RNAcentral's name for it is "LSU rRNA". It matches the Rfam family "Eukaryotic large subunit ribosomal RNA", at positions 663 to 1265 of the family's 3401-position model. Lineage: Eukaryota; Metazoa; Arthropoda; Insecta; Coleoptera; Scarabaeidae. The record is from RNAcentral.
GGACCAAGGAGUCUAGCAUGUGCGCGAGUCAUUGGGACUCUAACGAAACCUAAAGGCGUAAUGAAAGUGAAGGCCCGCCCAGCGCGGGCCGAGGGAGGAUGGGCGUUCCCGAGGGAUCGCCCCGCACUCCCAGGGCGUCUCGUUCUCAUUGCGAGAAGAGGCGCACCAAGAGCGUACACGCUGGGACCCGAAAGAUGGUGAACUAUGCCUGGUCAGGACGAAGUCAGGGGAAACCCUGAUGGAGGUCCGUAGCGAUUCUGACGUGCAAAUCGAUCGUCGGAACUGGGUAUAGGGGCGAAAGACUAAUCGAACCAUCUAGUAGCUGGUUCCCUCCGAAGUUUCCCUCAGGAUAGCUGGCGCUCGCUUCUCGCGAGUCUCAUUCGGUAAAGCGAAUGAUUAGAGGCAUUGGGGUCGAAACGGCCUCAACCUAUUCUCAAACUUUAAAUGGGUGAGAUCUCCGGCUUGCUUGAACUGUGAAGCCGCGAGAUAUCGGAUCAGAGUGCCAAGUGGGCCACUUUUGGUAAGCAGAACUGGCGCUGUGGGAUGAACCAAACGCCGAGUUAAAGCGCCUAAAUCGACGCUUAUGGGAUACCAUGAAAGGCGUUGGUAACUUAAGACAGCAGGACGGUGGCCAUGGAAGUCGGA